This 29-nucleotide non-coding RNA is filed under the name Mus musculus (house mouse). The record is from RNAcentral. Lineage: Eukaryota; Metazoa; Chordata; Mammalia; Rodentia; Muridae.
UACUAAUGGUCACAUCAGGAGUGCUGGGU